Molecule: ribosomal RNA, 495 nt
Filed under: uncultured bacterium
Lineage: Bacteria
Description: partial 16S ribosomal RNA
Rfam family: Bacterial small subunit ribosomal RNA
Source: RNAcentral
UGAACGCUGGCGGCGUGCCUAAUACAUGCAAGUCGAGCGAACGGACGAGAAGCUUGCUUCUCUGAUGUUAGCGGCGGACGGGUGAGUAACACGUGGAUAACCUACCUAUAAGACUGGGAUAACUUCGGGAAACCGGAGCUAAUACCGGAUAAUAUUUUGAACCGCAUGGUUCAAAAAUGAAAGACGGUCUUGCUGUCACUUAUAGAUGGAUCCGCGCUGCAUUAGCUAGUUGGUAAGGUAACGGCUUACCAAGGCAACGAUGCAUAGCCGACCUGAGAGGGUGAUCGGCCACACUGGAACUGAGACACGGUCCAGACUCCUACGGGAGGCAGCAGUAGGGAAUCUUCCGCAAUGGGCGAAAGCCUGACGGAGCAACGCCGCGUGAGUGAUAAAGGUCUUCGGAUCGUAAAACUCUGUUAUUAGGGAAGAACAUAUGUGUAAGUAACUGUGCACAUCUUGACGGUACCUAAUCAGAAAGCCACGGCUAACUACGUG